CAGGUGAUCAGGUAGAGAAUACCAAGGCGCUUGAGAGAACUGCGUUGAAGGAACUCGGCAAAUUGCACGCGUAACUUCGGAAGAAGCGUGACCCUCACUCACGCAAGUGGAUGAGGGUGGCACAGACCAGGGGGUAGCGACUGUUUAUCAAAAACACAGGGCUCUGCGAAGUCGCAAGACGACGUAUAGGGUCUGACGCCUGCCCGGUGCCUGAAGGUUAAAAGGAGGGGUGCAAGCUCUGAAUUGAAGCCCAGGUAAACGGCGGCCGUAACAAUAACGGUCCUAAGGUAGCGAA
This 295-nucleotide ribosomal RNA is filed under the name Pseudo-nitzschia fraudulenta. RNAcentral describes it as "partial Bacterial large subunit ribosomal RNA". It matches the Rfam family "Bacterial large subunit ribosomal RNA", at positions 1660 to 1963 of the family's 2925-position model. The record is from RNAcentral. Lineage: Eukaryota; Bacillariophyta; Bacillariophyceae; Bacillariales; Bacillariaceae.